AUCUUAGUAGUUUAUACUUUAAAACCUUAAUUUGUGGAAUUAAAAAAAAUCUAAGAUU
RNAcentral lists this transfer RNA (58 nucleotides) under Buthus occitanus (common European scorpion). Its description in RNAcentral is "tRNA-His". Lineage: Eukaryota; Metazoa; Arthropoda; Arachnida; Scorpiones; Buthidae. The record is from RNAcentral.